GUUUCUCUCUUGCAGAAGACGAUACAGACGAGUAAGAAGAUCACUAUUUUCAAGCAAUUCAAAGAAAAUGUCAUGGGACCCAUAUUAAAGGUGGAGAGGUGGGGGUGAAGCAAGUGGCAGUUGCAUAUGAACAGGACCCCCUGCCAUGAGGCUGACACUAAGGAUCCUGGAGGAGGAGUCAGAGAGGAGUCUGAUGAAGGACAAGGAAGGGAACAGAGAAGGACAAGAGAGUAAAGGGACUGGGCUACGGCUGGAGUUAGUGGGACAGGGGGACAAGGGCCAGAACCUGGACAUCCAGGAGCCCCUCCUGCCAGAAGUCCUUCUCCUUCUGAACACUGGGGGGCAUCAUAACUCUAUUAGGGCUUCUCUCCCAACACAGUGCGGCAAAUCAAGGGCAGAAAUAAAUGUGGACUUGGUGGCCAGUGAAGUGACUUACAGCUUUAUAUCCCGGCCCAGCCAACGACUGACCAGUAUAGAGACUGAUACUGAUCUCCUUAAUGUUAAUGUCGAACUGGACUUCCCAGAAAAUAACAGAGAACUUUCCUUACUGCUCCUGGGCAAGGGUGCACAACCAAUCAGCAGGCAGAAUGGGAUGCUAGCCUUUUUAUUGGCUGGCUAUGGUUUGUCACCUUAGCAACCAGCUUAGGUUUAAAUGCCAGAGUUCAGUCCCCUGACCUCUCUCAGUCCUGGUACCCCGACUUGUAUUCCCGACUUUUUUGUAUUUAAUUUGCUCUCUCCCCGACUUGUUUCCUGGCUUUGUGCCCCCCUCUGCAUUUGGAAGCUGGAUUUACUCCCAUUGGUUUAGAUCAGAAAUGACCUUGGCCAAUUGCAACUCAUCCUGCUGGGAGUUCUGGAUUCAGUUUCCACAUUUACCCAAACAGAACAUUCCAGGAGUCACAAUGGAGCUGCUUGUUGCAGGGGAUGUUGGGAGUUGUAGUCGCACAAGAGGGGUACAGACUGGACAGUGUGAUGCUGAUAAGUAUAAAUCUAUAUCUGUAUAA
Long non-coding RNA from Xenopus laevis (African clawed frog), 1001 nucleotides. RefSeq lists it as uncharacterized. The transcript is spliced from 2 exons. The record is from RefSeq and is a predicted model, not a curated record. NCBI's taxonomy places the organism in Eukaryota, Metazoa, Chordata, Amphibia, Anura, Pipidae.